UGGGGAAUUUUGGACAAUGGGCGAAAGCCUGAUCCAGCAAUGCCGCGUGUGUGAAGAAGGCCUUCGGGUUGUAAAGCACUUUUGUCCGGAAAGAAAUCCUUGGCUCUAAUACAGUCGGGGGAUGACGGUACCGGAAGAAUAAGCACCGGCUAACUACGUGCCAGCAGCCGCGGUAAUACGUAGGGUGCAAGCGUUAAUCGGAAUUACUGGGCGUAAAGCGUGCGCAGGCGGUUUGCUAAGACCGAUGUGAAAUCCCCGGGCUCAACCUGGGAACUGCAUUGGUGACUGGCAGGCUAGAGUAUGGCAGAGGGGGGUAGAAUUCCACGUGUAGCAGUGAAAUGCGUAGAGAUGUGGAGGAAUACUGAUGGCGAAGGCAGCCCCCUGGGCCAAUACUGACGCUCAUGCACGAAAGCGUGGGGAGCAAACAGGAUUAGAUACCCUGGUAGUCCACGCCCUAAACGAUGUCAACUAGUUGUUGGGGAUUCAUUUCCUUAGUAACGUAGCUAACGCGUGAAGUUGACCGCCUGGGGAGUACGGUCGCAAGAUUAAAACUCAAAUGAAUUGACGGGGUCAUAGCUG
Molecule: ribosomal RNA, 579 nt
Filed under: uncultured bacterium
Lineage: Bacteria
Description: partial 16S ribosomal RNA
Rfam family: Bacterial small subunit ribosomal RNA
Source: RNAcentral